CUAAAACUUUAAAAAAAAUGGAAGGUUGCAAGGUAAGGAUAUCGAAUUCAUGGCUACGAAAGAAUAAAGACUUUCAGGUUAGAAGAGCUCCAAACGGAGCUAGCACACAGUAUUUGAAGAAACACAUUCAUCCUUGUUUGUCAGGAUUCAGGAACCA
Long non-coding RNA from Hibiscus syriacus, 157 nucleotides. RefSeq lists it as uncharacterized. NCBI's taxonomy places the organism in Eukaryota, Viridiplantae, Streptophyta, Magnoliopsida, Malvales, Malvaceae. The transcript is spliced from 5 exons. The record is from RefSeq and is a predicted model, not a curated record.